RNAcentral lists this transfer RNA (83 nucleotides) under Anaerospora hongkongensis. It matches the Rfam family "tRNA". Rfam says of the family: Transfer RNA (tRNA) molecules are approximately 80 nucleotides in length. The record is from Rfam by way of RNAcentral. Lineage: Bacteria; Bacillati; Bacillota; Negativicutes; Selenomonadales; Sporomusaceae.
GCCCGGGUGGCGGAAUGGCAGACGCGGCAGACUCAAAAUCUGCUAUCAGGAAUGGUGUGGGGGUUCAAGUCCCUUCCCGGGCA